GGCACGCUUAUGACCUUUCCCCUCUUUUUUUUUUCCUUCAGUCUUAGGAAUUAGUGAUGGGCUAGAUAGUAGUUCCUGGAGAGGGAGAUGAUAAUCCUUUUUGAGAUAAAGGAACUGGGUGGAAUCUGAACUGCCUCUAGAGCUGUAUUUCCAGUCUUGCGAGGAUUUUCCAAGGACAGUUGGAAGUUACUGGGUUUAACUUAAUGACAUUCUAGAUUGACCUACUUGUCCAACUACAUCACAAAGGCACAGAGAAACUCCUCAAGUUUUCUCCAAGCUGGAGUUUCUGGGGCAUAAACCAUCCAAUUGAAAGCGUAUCCAAUUGGUUAAAAUGCACCCAGGGGGCGAGACUCUGGGGAUGGUUGAGGCAUUCCCCAUGGUAGUAAAGCUGGUGUCUGACUGACAGCAGCCAGAGAAAGGGUGCAAAGGCCGAUUGCGGGUGUUGACAUAGCUAUAAGAUUUAGUCAAGUCCCGCUCAGCCUGGGCACUUUGUCUCCGAGCCAGCACAGUUGAGGUAGGGAAGCAGGAGGCAAAGGCCUGGAACUGGCUGGAGGCUGGGGCUCCCAGAUCCAGGUUUGAGAGUUAAAUCCCUGGCAAAAGGCUUAUUUUUCCAAUUUUACAGAAGGUCAAGGUUCUGCUCAGGUCUAGCCUGAACUUAACCUCGACUUGGUUACAACAGAAGAGAUGAGCAAAACAGACAAAGAACGGAAAAGAAGAGAUCAGACCUCACCCUCAUGGCCUCUUCCAGAGGGUUAUCAAGAUAAGAGUCACACAACAGUUCCUGUGCUGGGGCACACUACGCUAGCAUGACAGUUCACAGAAUAAAUCACAGGUCUCCUACCCUCAUAACCAACUCAGUAGGUGACUAAAAUACUCAAUGAGUCAACCAUCAAGAGACGGCACCCCCACUUAGGGUUGCUGGGGUGAUCAGGCCCAGAAACCCAAAGUUGGGGCUCCCAGGGGUGGAGCCUUUUACUCUUUAAAGAUUUCUUUGUUUCCCAGUUGCAAAGUUCAAAAGGAGAUGAAAAUGGCCAUUGUAACUCCAAGAGAGACAAAAGAAACGGGUCCA
RNAcentral lists this long non-coding RNA (1069 nucleotides) under Equus caballus (horse). RNAcentral describes it as "lncRNA (ENSECAG00000055175.1)". Lineage: Eukaryota; Metazoa; Chordata; Mammalia; Perissodactyla; Equidae. The record is from RNAcentral.